RNAcentral lists this ribosomal RNA (484 nucleotides) under uncultured bacterium. RNAcentral describes it as "partial 16S ribosomal RNA". It matches the Rfam family "Bacterial small subunit ribosomal RNA", at positions 30 to 507 of the family's 1533-position model. The record is from RNAcentral.
AUUGAACGCUGGCGGCAGGCCUAACACAUGCAAGUCGAGCGGAUGAAGGGAGCUUGCUCCUGGAUUCAGCGGCGGACGGGUGAGUAAUGCCUAGGAAUCUGCCUGGUAGUGGGGGAUAACGUCCGGAAACGGGCGCUAAUACCGCAUACGUCCUGAGGGAGAAAGUGGGGGAUCUUCGGACCUCACGCUAUCAGAUGAGCCUAGGUCGGAUUAGCUAGUUGGUGGGGUAAAGGCCUACCAAGGCGACGAUCCGUAACUGGUCUGAGAGGAUGAUCAGUCACACUGGAACUGAGACACGGUCCAGACUCCUACGGGAGGCAGCAGUGGGGAAUAUUGGACAAUGGGCGAAAGCCUGAUCCAGCCAUGCCGCGUGUGUGAAGGAGGUCUUCAGAUUGUAAAGCACUUUAAGUUGGGAGGAAGGGCAGUAAGUUAAUACCUUGCUGUUUUGACGUUACCAACAGAAUAAGCACCGGCUAACUUCGUG